UACGGAGGAUCCAAGCGUUAUCCGGAAUCAUUGGGUUUAAAGGGUCCGUAGGCGGCCCGGUAAGUCAGUGGUGAAAUCUCACGGCUCAACCGUGAAAUUGCCAUUGAUACUGUCGGGCUUGAAUUGUUGGGAAGUAACUAGAAUAUGUAGUGUAGCGGUGAAAUGCUUAGAUAUUACAUGGAAUACCGAUUGCGAAGGCAGGUUACUACCAAUACAUUGACGCUGAUGGACGAAAGCGUGGGGAGCGAACAGG
RNAcentral lists this ribosomal RNA (253 nucleotides) under uncultured bacterium. RNAcentral describes it as "partial 16S ribosomal RNA". It matches the Rfam family "Bacterial small subunit ribosomal RNA", at positions 524 to 776 of the family's 1533-position model. The record is from RNAcentral.